AAAUUUUGGAUGGAGGGCCUGAGUCUCUCACACUCUCUGUCGACCCUUCUCCUUCCCCGGCAAGCUUCCCCCUGCUCUGAUGUGGAUCUCCUCCGAUGUCGGGCCUCCAGUGUCGCCGUCCUCUCCCUCACUCUCUGCCGACCCUUCUCCUUCCCCAGGCAAGCCCCCUGCUCCGAUGUCGGGCCUCCACUACCGUCGUCCUCUCCCUCUCUCCGUUUCUCGGUCGCGGCUCCUCAUUCACCCCUGGCAGUGGCCCUCCGCCGCAACUCGAGUCUGUCGUGACGCCACUACAGCCUGCUACUGCCUCUCCCUCUCGUCUGACUCGGACAUGGCCCCUCCCUCUCCUCUGCAUCCAGGCCAUGGCCCCUCCGCUGCAUCUUGAGCUUGCACUCAGCUGCGUCACAUCAUCUGUCAGCACGGAUCAAGGUCGCCCUUGCCGUGUCCCCUCCGCUUCUGCAGCUCAAGCUCGUGACGAGGAGCUCCAUUUGUGCAGGGGCACAUCCAUCGCUGCUCCAUCAAUGCAGGGGCACAGAUCUUGAGUUUUCUACUUUUUCGUUCUUAGCUACGAUCUGAUUUUCCCGGAAUUUGGUUUGAUCCCAAGCGAUGAUCUUUUGGGGAUGAGUUCGUGCUAGAUCGAGUUUAGUCUGUGCCAAGUUUGGAAACAUUUUGUUUUGUUUUUGUGGAGAUCAAAGCGAUUUUCUCUCUUGCGUCGGUCUCUGUUCUUUGUGUUCUUCGCAGGUUCUGGGACGAGCGCUCAGGUCUCGCUCACAGGUUGCAUCUUCGGUCACACCGACUCCGUGCACGAGCAGGCCUAAGUCGCCCCUCUCUUCUCUGUAGCUGUGCGCAUCCCCUCAGCUGGCGGUUCCUCUAUCCAGUUCUUGAUUCGUCGGUCUCUUUUCGCUGUGUGCAAGCAGUUAGGUUCCUGUCCGAGCUGUCUCUGUAGUUGCGUACCAGCGCUAAGCAUUUCAGCAUCGUGUGGGAGUUGGGAAGGGUGCUGUGAUGACAUGAAUGAGCAGCACAGUGCAGUAGUAGUCAAUCCCUUCCUUCUUUCUCUGGUGCGUGUUCAUCGAUUUACUUGUUGUGUUGUUUUGGUCCUGUGCAACUAAGAGCAGCUAGCGCCCCUUCCUGUGCCAUGACCAAUGUUGUCUUUGAGCUCUAAUUUUGAUUGGUCUUGCACUUGUCCAGAUGCUUCCAUUCAGUGCGCUGGGAGCAGCACUCACAUCACCGAGGGUAUGAACAGCAGUUCGCGUUAGUUGGAUUUUUGGGAGCAUCAGGUUUUUGCUAAUUACAUUUUCAAUCGGCAACCUAGCUGGUCUUUCUGUUGCCGCAGGGUGCAGGUUUGCAAUGUGUUCGAUUUAGAGCAGCAAGUGGACAUGGAUUCAGUUCUUGUGCAAUAUAAGCAACCUGUAAACUCAGCAGUUUGUGCAGUUUUAGUUCUUCUCUAAAUGAACGAAUUUUCAGGGAAUUUUUCAGUCUAUUUUUCACAGCUUUGAUUUUCUAUUUUGCGCGUAGCCUAUUUUUGUCUUUUUGAUAGAUUGGAAUGGACGUCAUAGCCACAUGCCAUCUAUUGAUUUGAGACUCUGGGUGCAGAGAAGUUGAAUCAUUUCUUUUUUUCAUGAUAUAUUUCAGUUUUCAUAAUUCUCAUCAAUGUUUCAAUAUAAAACUGCUCUAAACUACUAUAUUUGUCUUCUAUGGUACAUAUAGCAGACUUAAAGCGAUAUAGCGUGUUUAGCCCCUCCUUAUAUUUUCCUGGAUUUGUCACUGGUGAUACUUGAUAAUAGAUAGAGCUCUUUUUGUAUCAUAUCUCCAGUUAUUUGGCACUUUGUGUCAUACAGCAUGAGGAUUUGCAGAUGAUCCUAAUCUGAGUUUACUGAUCCUUGUUCUUUCAUCAUGCUUUAUUGCUUUGGGAAAAGAAAACCUAACGAAGGCAUUUAGACUAAAAUUUAGAAUUCAUAAUAUAAAUUUAAUAAGAAGAGCUCUUCCACCGUAUCAAUCUGAUCGUGGGCAGAUACAUUGGGCUAAAGUAACUUCUUAAUCUUUACUGACCAGUUUAAUAAUAAAGGCUGGCCUUGUAACUUGUAAGUUCUCCUGAGAUAGUUCUGCCUUCUGUUUCCUAGGCGUACAUUCUGAUUUGUUCUGGUAGAUUUUACUUUAUUAUGUAAAAGAGAUAAUCUCUAUUUUUGUUGGAAGCACAAUUGUUAUACCUUUCAACUAAAAAAUCAUAAUUAGACUAAAAUUUAGAUGGCAUGUGUUUUCAUAAACAACUUUUAUUGUCAUUUGCAGGCUAUUUUUGGUUUAGCAACAGAUAAUAACCUUUAUGUCAAUGAUGGUUAUGCCACCUCAAUAUUUAAAACUGGGAUUGGAAAGUCUAUCUUAGCAACUGAGAACUCAAGGGAAAGGGCACAAUUUAUCUUAGAGGCUAAAGAGGCUGUAAAACAAGGAAUCGCACGCACGCAGGAUAAUUCAUUAACCUGAAUGAUGGAUGACGUACCGUUGUCAGAGCCGCGGCGCUUACCGAGGUAGCGAUGCUGACGGCGUCGAGUAGCGAUGAUGGCACCGUCAAGGUCAGGGAAAGAACGAUGUGCUGCUGCCUUGAGGUCUAGGACGCAGAAGGCUGCCGGCGUCAGGGCGAUGCUGCCGGAGUCGAUGACCGGGAAAGGAUUGAUGGGGAGGCACGAUCGCCGCCUGUUCGCCGAGUGGUUGAUUGGCCCGGCUGUGCUCGAUGCCCUAGCCCGCGGCCGAGUCAUGGAUGCACUCGGUGUUGAGAAACUUAAAGGACUUGAACCAGGAUGCCAUUUCGAAAGGUGGCCAAACUGCGGGGGGUUGUUCCCCACUGGAAACGCGUGCUGGUGCUGUUGGGGGUACCGUGGUGGUUGUGGAGAUACGGAGGCGGAAUGCAAGGGAAUAUGCCAUCCUUGAAAAUGCAUCAACUUUUGUGUCACUAGGACAAUGAGGAAUAAUUCAAGAUGACGAAAAUCUAUUUGUGUCAGUUUCAGUUCAAUACCUCAAAUAUCAAUUGUGUAAUGCUUGGUGAUAACAUUAGAAUUCAUGAUUCUUCCCAA
Molecule: RNA transcript, 3062 nt
Organism: Sorghum bicolor (sorghum)
Lineage: Eukaryota; Viridiplantae; Streptophyta; Magnoliopsida; Poales; Poaceae
Exons: 3
Source: RefSeq, a predicted model, not a curated record